Molecule: non-coding RNA, 597 nt
Filed under: Pan troglodytes (chimpanzee)
Lineage: Eukaryota; Metazoa; Chordata; Mammalia; Primates; Hominidae
Source: RNAcentral
GAUAGGCAGUACAACCAGACAGGUACGUACAAUUUAUUUGCUACAUUAUUUUUUAUUUUAGGAAGCAACCAGAUGAAGAGCUCGCAGGCUAUUGAGGCAGAUUAAAGACAGCAGAGGGCGCUCAUAGGUUAUUAGCAAAAUCAAGGAAAACAUUUGUGUAUAUAUGCAAGGUAGAUAAUAAGAAAUAUCAGCACCUUCUAUUGCAUUAAAUUUUUCACUGGGGAUUCACAACUAAAUGGCAGCUACCUGAUGCUCCCCCUUUCUAGUAACUACCUCUGACUUCAUUUCAAGCAUUGUUAAAUGGUGCAUUCUUUGUUCUGUCCUUAACUCUCUCAUUAUCAAAUGAGAACUUGUUUUCUCAUACUGACAAUGACCAUAAUAACAGUGAUAGCUAUUGGUCAUUCAUUGUUUCCUCCAUAUAUUUUCGAUUCAGCAAAUAAUUAUUGAAUAUUGGUUGCAGGAUCUUUGCUGGACAGGAAGCAUACAGUAAUAAAUUGUCAUGAUCCAUAUCUCCAUAGAUUUCACAGUGUAAAGGGAGAGAUAGAAACCACACAAAUAAACAUGGGUAAAAGGAUAAUUAUAAGUUAUGAUAAUAAC